AAGUCGUAACAAGGUCUCCGUUGGUGAACCAGCGGAGGGAUCAUUAAAGAGUUGCAAAACUCCCUUUAAACCAUCGCGAACGUUACCCACGACGCCGUUGCCUCGGCGGAGCGUCGCCCCGUGCCGUCAAAAGCACGGGGCGUGCGCCCGCCGGGAGACCGGCACAACCAAACUCUUAUAACCAUUGGCCUCUCUGAGUAAGAUUUUUAAAUAAGUCAAAACUUUCAACAACGGAUCUCUUGGUUCUG
This 248-nucleotide unclassified non-coding RNA is filed under the name fungal sp. Its description in RNAcentral is "partial internal transcribed spacer region". The stretch from base 1 to 46 matches the Rfam family "Eukaryotic small subunit ribosomal RNA", at positions 1786 to 1831 of the family's 1831-position model. The record is from RNAcentral. Lineage: Eukaryota; Fungi. RNAcentral also lists the same sequence under 2 other names.